This is a long non-coding RNA of Oncorhynchus tshawytscha (Chinook salmon), 2570 nucleotides long. The record is from Ensembl. Lineage: Eukaryota; Metazoa; Chordata; Actinopteri; Salmoniformes; Salmonidae.
GCCUCAACUGGGAGAGGCAGAACGAGCAAGUCAUGCACCUGACAUUUGUUCCUCUAGACGUAACACAAGCGGCAACAUUUCUGAAAACUUUUAAAAUGAAAGAGUGAAGAUUAUAAUUAUAUAUCCACAACUGAUCAAGACCAAAGCUGUAUCCCAUUAAUAAUGCCAGACUAUCCAGAAGUUCCCCUGGGCAGUUCCAAAAAAGGCAGAAAAGCUGGUCUUGUUCUCCCUCUACCCCAGCCCAGGAUGAAUUUAAUGGGGACACGUCUAGACAGGGGCAACCCAGGGAUUCACCUGGCCAUUCUAGAUGCUGUCCUUUCCCAUCUCACUUCAAACACAAAUAAUCCAGGCCUUCUCCUAGCCAGUCCCACCUCCAGAGCAGAGAGCACAGACGUUCUACAUAUCCAUCCUGUUACUCUACCAGACAAGAUUCAUCCAGGGCUUCUACUUGCCAGUCCCAACGGAGCCAAGAGCAUCGCAGCUCUCACCCUCCCAUUCCCUCCACUAGACCAGAGUUGUUUCCCAUGAAUAAUGCCAAACUUCAGAAGUGUGUCCUAACUAAAUUGGAGAUAUUGGAGGAGGUGAAACGUGUUGGGAGAGCAGAGCCCCAAGACUCUUUGAGUUCCAUGUCAAGAGGAUGGAGAUGGAGCAAGACUUUGACCAACUAGAGAAGCAGCUCCAAGGUGUGGAUGCACAGAAUCUGAUGGUGAAAGUGAAAUUUAUUUUGUAGAUUUGUAAGCAUUUUUCACACAAGCGAUACAAAAAGUGAUGCCCGUAGAAUUUUUUUUUUAAAGUACUCAUACUGAGACAGUGGUUACUGCAUAACUUCUGGUGUUUCAAACAAAGUCUCUUGACACAGAUUGCAAGGUUAAGCAAAAUUGGUGUUAAGGACACAAAGGACUGUGCCAACAAGGUCAUGGUAUGUCAUAUCUUCAGAAUGGAUCCAAUAAGAAAGUCAUUUUAAAGGUAUUGUUAGUGAUACAAACUGUCUGCAACAAAGACAGUAAAUCCAGCCUUAUCUCCUCAGCAGUUUGAAAGUGUUCAAUUCACAAAGUACAUCCUAUGUGUGCUUGACUUUCAGGCUCUUUACCAAUGGCCUGAUGUCCUUGUUCAACUUCAAUGGCCAUCACGCAAGCGAGGAUUAGGAAACACAACUGUGUACUCUGUUGUCAACAGUACCUACAAACAUGUCAUUAUUCUGUAGUAUAUUUUGUAUUAAUAACUGGGUGGUUUGAGCCCUGAAAGCUGAUUGGCUAACGGCCAUGGUAUAUUUAAGCAAUAAUACAUGAGAGCCCAUGUGUUAUGAUGACAUUUUUAUCAUGGCUGAGUGUCAUAGCCAUAAAAGCAAAGUCCUCUGGGUUUUGUGGUACCGUAACCACACAAUACAUGGUUAACAGUCUGUAUCCAGGCACCCUGAGUUGCGUUGUGCAUAAGAAAAGCCUUUACUACACCUUCCCAUUGCUUAAAGGAUCACUAAGGUUGCGCAAUCAAAAUGACCUGCUCUGUCUGUUUUAAUAGGCUAGAUUAUUAUUUUGUCUUCUAAAACAAUUAUUCAUUUGCAUGGUGGUAAUUUGUGUAGUUGUCACGUUCUGACCUUAGUUCUUUUGUUAUUGUCUUUGUUUAGUAUGGUCAGGGCGUGAGUUGGGUGGGUUGUCUAUGUUCCUUUUUCUAUGAUUUGGGAUUUCUGUGUUUGGCCUGGUAUGGUUCUCAAUUAGAGGCAGCUGUCUAUCGUUGUCCCUGAUUGAGAACCAUACUUAGGUAGCCUGGUUUCACUUUUGAGUUAUUUUCUGUGUUAAUGUUUGUGACACACGGGACUGUUUCGUUUGUUUCACUUUGUUAUUUUGUAUUUUGUAGUGUUCAGUUUUACAUAUUAAAAUGGACACUUACCACGCUGCAAAUUGGUCCGAUCUCUCUUACUCCUCAUCAGAAGAAGAGGACGAGCGUUACAGUGGUCCCUUUUUGAGAAUAAUGGUUUUAGGAGCUUGGCAAUUUUGAAUGAGGUGAUCAUGUGACCUUAAUGGCCUUUUAACCUAUUGACGCGCAAGUUCUAAAAAUGUAUAACGGUCUGCCCAGCGUGGCAUUUCCUCAAUCAUUUUUUUUUAUUUUGCAAUGCUGUAGCCCUAAUAAAUGCUUUACCAUUUUUUUUUCUUUGAUGGAGCAGACUCUAGUAUGUCAUUAUGUUGGUUUUGUUUAGCUUUCUGGCCUGUUAUCAAUUAGGCCUUAUUAUUACUUAAUUUCAUCACACAGCCUACUAGUCCUGCAUUUAAAUGCAGUCAAGCAUUCUCUUGAAUAAUUAGCCUAGAGUUUUACAAUGGCCUAAAUAAUAAUAAUAAAGGCUUUAUAAUUUUUUCAUUAGUACAGAUCAACUCUCUGGUACACCUAUAAUUUAUUUUGUGUUGUUUACGCUGUAAACGCGCUGGUUCCAUCCUCUUUCUAUGAGCUCAAGUCAAAUGUCUUCCGUACAUCUGACAUUGCCUUUGUCUCCUGAGCAUCCAGUCAGUUAAACAUCUCCCUCAUUUCAAGUUGAAUUUUUUACUUGCGAUCUCUGCAUACUGACAAAUAUAUUAGGC